Long non-coding RNA from Pristis pectinata (smalltooth sawfish), 337 nucleotides. RefSeq lists it as uncharacterized. NCBI's taxonomy places the organism in Eukaryota, Metazoa, Chordata, Chondrichthyes, Rhinopristiformes, Pristidae. The transcript is spliced from 3 exons. The record is from RefSeq and is a predicted model, not a curated record.
CUUGAAGUAGUGGGCGGCAGUGUGACAGAUUGGACUGGCUUCCAAGACCACAUCAUAGGUCUUCCAAGUAAUGAAUGGUUUCAAAAGAUAAGAGGAACCAUUCCUAAAAGCAAGUGGCUCGGAAACUGGAGGACACAGACACAAGAUAACAGGCGAAAGGUCAAGGGUGGGGAGCAAGGAAAUUCCUUUGCAGGCAGCAACUUGUUAUACUCCACUGUGCUUGUCUAAAGAGAAUUUCAGCACCUGUAGAUUUUUUUGCUUUUCAAUUCCCGGCCAGUUCUGAUGGAACUCAAGGUUUCUCUCCUGUGCAUUGGAGUUUCCAUACCAGGCUGUGAUG